Carassius carassius (crucian carp) is the source of this 1258-nucleotide long non-coding RNA. RefSeq lists it as uncharacterized. The record is from RefSeq and is a predicted model, not a curated record. Lineage: Eukaryota; Metazoa; Chordata; Actinopteri; Cypriniformes; Cyprinidae. The transcript is spliced from 3 exons.
UUCAGGUGGAGAAAAAAAUAAAUAUUUGGAAAAACUGUAAAUAUUAUGUUUGAAUUAUUCAUUCUCAUUGUAAAAGCACCAGUGCAUUUCGACUUCUUACCAUACAAGAACAUAUUUAUGAUUAUGGCCGUGAUCACGUGAUCAGGACCAGUAAAUGGAAGAGGGGGCAGACAUAGACUGCUAUUUAUCAAGAAUCGUUUCAACUUUCAUUCUUCGACCAGCAGAUGGCGCUAUAUAAACCUAAAUCACCAAUCAUCUAGUUAUCGCUGGCUAAAUUAAUAGCCAAAUGAGUGUUUUGCAAAGAAAAACAUAACAACCAAGAAACUAUACAUAACAGUAUACAUUUUUUUCAGGUGAACGUUAAUAUUUUGGAAGAGUGCCAAUGGGGUAUUUUUGCUGUCUAUUUUCUUUUCUAUUAGGCUACUUCCGCAUAAAAACAGAAAGUAAAAAAAAAACAAAUACCAGCUGGUAUUCCCAUUCAGUCUAUUUAAGCAGACGGUAAAUAUAUACUUUCAUGUUGUGUCUCUUCGCACAAAGAAGUGGAUUAAAUAUUGUGCUGGUCUCCAGUGUCACCAUCCGUGGAAGCUGUCCAGGAGGAUCUGAGCCAUGAACGAUCCAAAGUGUCCUAGUUGUCAUCAGUCUAAUGUGGGAGUUUUGAAUGGCCAGUGUGUGCUCUGCAAGUCUUGCUCCAAAUUGAAGAGGUCCGUGUUUCGGUUCUGCCUGGCAUGUCAGAGAGAGUGGCCAUGCGAAUCUCCGACCACGAGUUCCUGUAUGCUUCCAAACUGUGCGCUCAGUGCUGCACCCCUCAGCAACACAAAAAUCACUGACCCACACAGCUCGGCGAGAGGGUGUCCCUAUUUCAGAGCCUGUCCAGGGUGCAAGGCCCUGCUUACACACAAUGUAAAAGGCUGUCCCAACAUCAUCUGCCCUCACUGUUGCACAUCCUUCUGUUUCCGCUGCCCAUGUCAAAGGUGCCUUGGGCUGGGGAAUAUUGAAGACCUUGGGAUUCUUACCGAUAGAUUGUCCCGCUUUCAAGAUUAUGAUAUAACUCCAUGUAGAGUUGUGGACAACAAACAGAGUCUCACAGUUUUUGGACUGUAAUGAGAAAGUUUUGAACAUAUGAUCUGUUAAAUAGCAUAAUGCUAAAAACAGUUAAAGCUAUAGCUAUAAAAGCUAUAUGUGAUUUAUAUAGGAAUAACUGUUAAGCAUGCUAUUGAAAAUACUGUUAUUCUUGUAUAUGUUUAGAAAAGGUAAGUCU